This 497-nucleotide ribosomal RNA is filed under the name uncultured bacterium. RNAcentral's name for it is "partial 16S ribosomal RNA". It matches the Rfam family "Bacterial small subunit ribosomal RNA", at positions 28 to 507 of the family's 1533-position model. The record is from RNAcentral.
GAUGAACGCUGGCGGCGUGCCUAAUACAUGCAAGUCGAGCGAACAGAUGAGGAGCUUGCUCCUCUGACGUUAGCGGCGGACGGGUGAGUAACACGUGGAUAACCUACCUCUAAGACUGGGAUAACUUCGGGAAACCGUAGCUAAUACCGGAUAAUAUAUUGAACUGCAUGGUUCAAUAGUGAAAGACGGUUUUGCUGUCACUUAUAGAUGGCUCCGCGCCGCAUUAGCUAGUUGGUAAGGUAACGGCUUACCAAGGCAACGAUGCGCAGCCGACCUGAGAGGGUGAUCGGCCACACGGGAACUGAGACACGGUCCAGACUCCUACGGGAGGCAGCAGUAGGGAAUCGUACGCAAUGGGCGAAAGCCUGACGGAGCAACGCCGCGUGAGUGAUGAAGGUCUUCGGAUCGUAAAAAGCUGUUAUUAGGGAAGAACAAAUGUGUAAGUAACUAUGCACGUCUUGACGGUACCUAAUCAGAAAGCCACGGCUAACUACGUG